RNAcentral lists this microRNA (20 nucleotides) under Pteropus alecto (black flying fox). RNAcentral describes it as "pal-miR-6119-3p". Lineage: Eukaryota; Metazoa; Chordata; Mammalia; Chiroptera; Pteropodidae. The record is from miRBase by way of RNAcentral.
AAAUCAUUUUUUACUCCCCA